RNAcentral lists this long non-coding RNA (468 nucleotides) under Capsella rubella. Its description in RNAcentral is "long non-coding RNA (CRUB_LNC005167)". The record is from RNAcentral. Lineage: Eukaryota; Viridiplantae; Streptophyta; Magnoliopsida; Brassicales; Brassicaceae.
AAUUCUACAAGAAUCGUUUAACCCUAAUUCACGUUACGAUCUCAAAUACAAAAUUAGGAGACGGCCUUGGAACUAAACUAAAGUAUAACUCCGGCCAAUACUGCUAAGAUUGGCGGCUGGUGAUUCAAAAAAAAGUUGUUGUACCCGACUACGACUACAAUGUAGACGAAGGAGAAAUAUUUCUUUUUCAUUCUAAUGGAUUUUUUUUUUUGCUGUAAUUAUUUUUUCUCUUUUUCAAUUUCUUUUCUCCUUCUGGAUAUGUUCAAUUUGGUGAAAAAUUAAAUUAGGUUAAAUUCCAACAAAAAUUUGGUAUUUUUGAUUUAACAAGUUGUGUUUAUUGAUUUACUUUUGGUAUUUAUCUAGGUCAAGUUUUAUAAAGAUUUAAAUUUUUAAUGGUGUUUAUUAAAGAGACAAAAAGUUUGCGUAGAAACGCUGUGAAAGCAACAAAUACACGAGGGCAUAAUGAGG